RNAcentral lists this ribosomal RNA (253 nucleotides) under uncultured bacterium. RNAcentral describes it as "partial 16S ribosomal RNA". It matches the Rfam family "Bacterial small subunit ribosomal RNA", at positions 524 to 776 of the family's 1533-position model. The record is from RNAcentral.
UACGGAGGGAGCUAGCGUUGUUCGGAAUUACUGGGCGUAAAGCGCGCGUAGGCGGCUUUGUAAGUUAGAGGUGAAAGCCCGGGGCUCAACCCCGGAACUGCCUUUAAGACUGCAUCGCUUGAAUCCGGGAGAGGUGAGUGGAAUUCCGAGUGUAGAGGUGAAAUUCGUAGAUAUUGGGAAGAACACCGAUGGCGAAGGCAGCCAUCUGGACCGACACUGACGCUGAGGCGCGAAAGCGUGGGGAGCAAACAGG